RNAcentral lists this ribosomal RNA (158 nucleotides) under uncultured bacterium. RNAcentral's name for it is "partial 16S ribosomal RNA". It matches the Rfam family "Bacterial small subunit ribosomal RNA", at positions 355 to 509 of the family's 1533-position model. The record is from RNAcentral.
UGAGGAAUAUUGGUCAAUGGGCGCGAGCCUGAACCAGCCAAGUCGCGUGAGGGAAGACGGUCCUAUGGAUUGUAAACCUCUUUUUGUCGGGGAGCAAGAAAGGGUAUGCAUACCCUACUGAGAGUACCCGAAGAAAAAGCAUCGGCUAACUCCGUGCC